RNAcentral lists this ribosomal RNA (502 nucleotides) under uncultured bacterium. RNAcentral's name for it is "bacterial SSU rRNA". It matches the Rfam family "Bacterial small subunit ribosomal RNA", at positions 9 to 526 of the family's 1533-position model. The record is from RNAcentral.
GAGUUUGAUCCUGGCUCAGGACGAACGCUGGCGGCGUGCUUAACACAUGCAAGUCGAGCGAUGAAGCUUCCUUCGGGAAGUGGAUUAGCGGCGGACGGGUGGGUAACACGUGGGCAACCUGCCUCAAAGAGGGGAAUAGCCCUCCGAAAGGAGGAUUAAUACCGCAUAAAGUUAGAGUUUCGCAUGAAACUUUAACCAAAGGAGUAAUCUGCUUUGAGAUGGGCCCGCGUCCCAUUAGCUAGUUGGUAAGGUAAUGGCUUACCAAGGCAACGAUGGGUAGCCGACCUGAGAGGGUGAUCGGCCACAUUGGAACUGAGACACGGUCCAGACUCCUACGGGAGGCAGCAGUGGGGAAUAUUGCGCAAUGGGGGAAACCCUGACGCAGCAACGCCGCGUGGGUGAUGAAGGUUUUCGGACCGUAAAACCCUGUUUUCUGGGACGAUAAUGACGGUACCAGAUGAGGAAGCCACGGCUAACUACGUGCGAGCAGCCGCGGUAAUAC